CCACGCUUUGCUGUAGUUCUCCAACAUGAAGCUUGGUGGAUUGUUUUUUACUUUGAGUAAACUUGCAUCUUUGUGCCAGGAGCUAUAAGGGCAAGUUUAGGGGAUAAAAUAUGAUUCUUCAGUGUUGACUCAGAAGGAUGAAUUCACGUCACGUUUAAAGGAUUACUCUGUAAAAGACAGCCGUGUGUCCUUUUCACAAAGACGGCCACCUCUGUGGUCCCUUCUCGUCUUAUCUUCUCCACUCAUCCUGGGACGCAGUCGCAGAGUGCCAUGUCACAUGCGCUAGCAGUCGUCUCCCACGGCCUGGCUGGAAUUCGAGGCUGUGGGUGUGGAAAGUGUUUCUGACGGUUUUGUGCAUUCUUCAAUUGGAACCACAUGUUACAGAGCCUGAACGAGACCUGGCACAGGGAGCGAGGGAAUAUCAGAUAAUCUGCCCUGAGCGUUCUAGUCGCAGUGAGGCAGGCAAAGAAUAAAUCCAGUAUUCCUCUUAGCCAUCUCCGUUCCUGGGAGGACUUUAGUCCACCAGUGAAAUAUAUAUAUUUUUUUCCUAUCCACAGCUCAGCUUGUGCUCUCAGUCCUCAAAUAGACUGACAUGUUUGCCCAUUACACAAAUAUGUUGGUAUUUAGCAAUUUAAGCCAGAUGGGAUGCUACGAUGCAAUGCUAUGUUUACUUAGCAGUAAAGUGAAAUGUUUAGGACAGAGAACAAAAAAGAAGAUACUGUAAUG
Gambusia affinis (western mosquitofish) is the source of this 726-nucleotide long non-coding RNA. RefSeq lists it as uncharacterized. The transcript is spliced from 3 exons. The record is from RefSeq and is a predicted model, not a curated record. NCBI's taxonomy places the organism in Eukaryota, Metazoa, Chordata, Actinopteri, Cyprinodontiformes, Poeciliidae.